AGCAGAGUGGCCUAGUGGUUCAAGAGCACAGGCCUGAGCUUCAGAAGCAUCUGGGUUUGAAUCCCAGCUCUGCCA
RNAcentral lists this transfer RNA (75 nucleotides) under Ornithorhynchus anatinus (platypus). It matches the Rfam family "tRNA". Rfam says of the family: Transfer RNA (tRNA) molecules are approximately 80 nucleotides in length. Their secondary structure includes four short double-helical elements and three loops (D, anti-codon, and T loops). The record is from Rfam by way of RNAcentral. Lineage: Eukaryota; Metazoa; Chordata; Mammalia; Monotremata; Ornithorhynchidae.